This 1389-nucleotide ribosomal RNA is filed under the name Klebsiella sp. RNAcentral describes it as "bacterial SSU rRNA". It matches the Rfam family "Bacterial small subunit ribosomal RNA". Lineage: Bacteria; Pseudomonadati; Pseudomonadota; Gammaproteobacteria; Enterobacterales; Enterobacteriaceae. The record is from RNAcentral.
UGCAGUCGAGCGGUAGCACAGAGAGCUUGCUCUCGGGUGACGAGCGGCGGACGGGUGAGUAAUGUCUGGGAAACUGCCUGAUGGAGGGGGAUAACUACUGGAAACGGUAGCUAAUACCGCAUAACGUCGCAAGACCAAAGUGGGGGACCUUCGGGCCUCAUGCCAUCAGAUGUGCCCAGAUGGGAUUAGCUGGUAGGUGGGGUAACGGCUCACCUAGGCGACGAUCCCUAGCUGGUCUGAGAGGAUGACCAGCCACACUGGAACUGAGACACGGUCCAGACUCCUACGGGAGGCAGCAGUGGGGAAUAUUGCACAAUGGGCGCAAGCCUGAUGCAGCCAUGCCGCGUGUGUGAAGAAGGCCUUCGGGUUGUAAAGCACUUUCAGCGGGGAGGAAGGCGGUGAGGUUAAUAACCUCAUCGAUUGACGUUACCCGCAGAAGAAGCACCGGCUAACUCCGUGCCAGCAGCCGCGGUAAUACGGAGGGUGCAAGCGUUAAUCGGAAUUACUGGGCGUAAAGCGCACGCAGGCGGUCUGUCAAGUCGGAUGUGAAAUCCCCGGGCUCAACCUGGGAACUGCAUUCGAAACUGGCAGGCUAGAGUCUUGUAGAGGGGGGUAGAAUUCCAGGUGUAGCGGUGAAAUGCGUAGAGAUCUGGAGGAAUACCGGUGGCGAAGGCGGCCCCCUGGACAAAGACUGACGCUCAGGUGCGAAAGCGUGGGGAGCAAACAGGAUUAGAUACCCUGGUAGUCCACGCUGUAAACGAUGUCGAUUUGGAGGUUGUGCCCUUGAGGCGUGGCUUCCGGAGCUAACGCGUUAAAUCGACCGCCUGGGGAGUACGGCCGCAAGGUUAAAACUCAAAUGAAUUGACGGGGGCCCGCACAAGCGGUGGAGCAUGUGGUUUAAUUCGAUGCAACGCGAAGAACCUUACCUGGUCUUGACAUCCACAGAACUUUCCAGAGAUGGAUUGGUGCCUUCGGGAACUGUGAGACAGGUGCUGCAUGGCUGUCGUCAGCUCGUGUUGUGAAAUGUUGGGUUAAGUCCCGCAACGAGCGCAACCCUUAUCCUUUGUUGCCAGCGGUCAGGCCGGGAACUCAAAGGAGACUGCCAGUGAUAAACUGGAGGAAGGUGGGGAUGACGUCAAGUCAUCAUGGCCCUUACGACCAGGGCUACACACGUGCUACAAUGGCAUAUACAAAGAGAAGCGACCUCGCGAGAGCAAGCGGACCUCAUAAAGUAUGUCGUAGUCCGGAUUGGAGUCUGCAACUCGACUCCAUGAAGUCGGAAUCGCUAGUAAUCGUAGAUCAGAAUGCUACGGUGAAUACGUUCCCGGGCCUUGUACACACCGCCCGUCACACCAUGGGAGUGGGUUGCAAAAGAAGUAGGUAGCUUAA